AAGUCGUAACAAGGUUUCCGUAGGUGAACCUGCGGAAGGAUCAUUAACAAAUAAUCCAAACAUGGGUUAUAAUAAUCCAUCCACCUUUUGUGCACCGUAACUUGUCCAUUGCUUUUUUCCUAUUUGGAUAUGUUUUUAUUGGUCUAUUGAUUAAUAGAAGCAGCCAGAUAGGAAAGGGCAAAUACUAAACAUCUAUAUUUUUACGUUAUGUUGUCUGAAGUAUACACCUUUUUUGCGAAAGCAAAAAUAUUUUACUAAAACAACUUUCAACAACGGAUCUCUUGGCUCCC
Molecule: unclassified non-coding RNA, 290 nt
Filed under: fungal sp.
Lineage: Eukaryota; Fungi
Also listed under: 1 other name
Description: partial internal transcribed spacer region
Rfam family: Eukaryotic small subunit ribosomal RNA (bases 1-46)
Source: RNAcentral